RNAcentral lists this transfer RNA (77 nucleotides) under Sarcina sp. DSM 11001. RNAcentral's name for it is "tRNA_Met_CAT". It matches the Rfam family "tRNA". Rfam says of the family: Transfer RNA (tRNA) molecules are approximately 80 nucleotides in length. Their secondary structure includes four short double-helical elements and three loops (D, anti-codon, and T loops). Further hydrogen bonds mediate the characteristic L-shaped molecular structure. tRNAs have two regions of fundamental functional importance: the anti-codon, which is responsible for specific mRNA codon recognition, and the 3' end, to which the tRNAs corresponding amino acid is attached (by aminoacyl-tRNA synthetases). tRNAs cope with the degeneracy of the genetic code in two manners: having more than one tRNA (with a specific anti-codon) for a particular amino acid; and 'wobble' base-pairing, i.e. permitting non-standard base-pairing at the 3rd anti-codon position. RNAcentral also lists the same sequence under 1 other name. The record is from RNAcentral. Lineage: Bacteria; Bacillati; Bacillota; Clostridia; Eubacteriales; Clostridiaceae.
GGAUCCUUAGCUCAGUUGGUUAGAGCAACCGGCUCAUAACCGGUCGGUCCUGGGUUCGAGUCCCCGAGGAUCCACUA